GACGAACGCUGGCGGCGUGCUUAACACAUGCAAGUCGAACGGAAAGGCCCUGCUUUCGUGCUGUGCUCGAGUGGCGAACGGGUGAGGAAGACGUGAGUAACCUGCCCUUGACUUUGGGAUAACUUCAGGAAACUGGGGCUAAUAUCGGACAGGAUCUCCUGUUGCAUGGUGGGGGUUGGAUAGUUUCGGCGGUCGGGGAUGGAUUCGCGGCUUACGAGCUUGUUGGUGGGGUAGUGGCUUACCGAGGCUGUGACGGGUAGCCGGCCUGAGAGGGUGACCGGCCACAUGGGGACUGAGGGAGGGCCCAGUGUGCAACGGGAGGCAGCAGUCGGGAGUAUUGCACAAUGAGACGAAGCCUGUUACGACGACGCUGGGUGCGGAAUGACGGCCUUCGGGUAGUGAACAGCUUUAGCCUGAGACGAAGCGUGAGUGACGGUAAUGAGUAAAGAAGCACCGGCUAACUACGUG
This 468-nucleotide ribosomal RNA is filed under the name uncultured bacterium. Its description in RNAcentral is "partial 16S ribosomal RNA". It matches the Rfam family "Bacterial small subunit ribosomal RNA", at positions 28 to 507 of the family's 1533-position model. The record is from RNAcentral.